RNAcentral lists this non-coding RNA (688 nucleotides) under Metacrangonyx repens. Lineage: Eukaryota; Metazoa; Arthropoda; Malacostraca; Amphipoda; Metacrangonyctidae. The record is from RNAcentral.
CUUAAUUAUUGUUUUAAUAUUUUUAUUAAAAACUUUAUAUUUAAAACUUGUGUUCCUUUUUUUUGUAGAUCUAAUAUUUAUAAGAAGUCUAUAAUUUUUUUAUUUAGUGAAAUCUUUUAAAGAGUUUUUUAAAGAAAUAAUAAACUUGGUGCCAGCAAUUGCGGUUAAACUAAUGUUUUAAAGAAUAUUUAUUAAGGAAAAUAAUUGGUAAAUUAUAAAUUUUUAUAUAGGUGAAAUUUUUUAUAUUUAGUAUAUUUUUAAUAUUUUUAAAAAAUAAGGUUAGGACUAGGAUUAGAUACCCUAUUACACUUAUUUAGGAGUCCUUGAAAGAUUAAAUAUAAAAUUUGAAAAUUUGGCGGCUUUUUUAUUUAGAGGAACUUGUCUAUUAAAUUGAUAAACCUCAAUAGUUUGGUUUUUAAAUUUAAUUUUGUAUACCAUCAUUUAAAUAAUUUUGAAAUAAUCAAUUAUUAAAAAUUUUUUUAAAGAAAUUAGAUCAAGGUGCAGAUAUAUUUAAAAUUAGAUUAGUUACAAUAAUUUUUUAUACAGUGUCAAGUAAAGUUUUGGUAAAAGGUGGAUUUAAAUGUAAUAUAUCAAUACAUAUAUGAAAAUUAAUAAUCUAGUGUACAAAUUGCCCGUCACUCUCUUUGAGAUAAGUCGAAACAAAGUAGAAGUACCUGAAGGUGUUUCU